AAUGAACGCUGGCGGCAGGCCUAACACAUGCAAGUCGAACGCACCGCAAGGUGAGUGGCAGACGGGUGAGUAACGCGUGGGAACCUUCCCUUUGGUUCAGGAUAGCCCCGGGAAACUGGGAUUAAUACUGGAUAAGAUCUACGGAUGAAAGAUUUAUCGCCGAAGGAUGGGCCCGCGUAAGAUUAGCUAGUUGGUGAGGUAAUGGCUCACCAAGGCUUUGAUCUUUAGCUGGUCUGAGAGGAUGAUCAGCCACACUGGAACUGAGACACGGUCCAGACUCCUACGGGAGGCAGCAGUGAGGAAUAUUGGACAAUGGGCGCAAGCCUGAUCCAGCCAUGCCGCGUGAGUGAUGAAGGCCUUAGGGUUGUAAAACUCUUUUAGUGGGGAAAAUAAUGAUGGUACCCACAGAAAAAGCUCCGGCUAACUUCGUGCCAGCAGCCGCGGUAA
Molecule: ribosomal RNA, 447 nt
Filed under: uncultured bacterium
Lineage: Bacteria
Description: partial 16S ribosomal RNA
Rfam family: Bacterial small subunit ribosomal RNA
Source: RNAcentral